GGUGAAGCUAGUGUAAUGGCAACAUACGGCAUUGUGAAUGCUGAGACACGAGUUCAAUUCUCGUCUUCUCCC
This 72-nucleotide transfer RNA is filed under the name Bacteroidia bacterium. RNAcentral's name for it is "tRNA-His". It matches the Rfam family "tRNA". From Rfam's summary of the family: Transfer RNA (tRNA) molecules are approximately 80 nucleotides in length. Their secondary structure includes four short double-helical elements and three loops (D, anti-codon, and T loops). RNAcentral also lists the same sequence under 1 other name. The record is from RNAcentral. Lineage: Bacteria; Pseudomonadati; Bacteroidota; Bacteroidia.